CAUAGGUUAAUGAGGCGAACCGGGGGAACUGAAACAUCUAAGUACCCCGAGGAAAAGAAAUCAACCGAGAUUCCCCCAGUAGCGGCGAGCGAACGGGGAGCAGCCCAGAGCCUGAAUCAGUGUGUGUGUUAGUGGAAGCGUCUGGAAAGGCGCGCGAUACAGGGUGACAGCCCCGUACACAAAAAUGCACAUGCUGUGAGCUCGAUGAGUAGGGCGGGACACGUGGUAUCCUGUCUGAAUAUGGGGGGACCAUCCUCCAAGGCUAAAUACUCCUGACUGACCGAUAGUGAACCAGUACCGUGAGGGAAAGGCGAAAAGAACCCCGGCGAGGGGAGUGAAAAAGAACCUGAAACCGUGUACGUACAAGCAGUGGGAGCACGCUUAGGCGUGUGACUGCGUACCUUUUGUAUAAUGGGUCAGCGACUUAUAUUCUGUAGCAAGGUUAACCGAAUAGGGGAGCCGAAGGGAAACCGAGUCUUAACUGGGCGUUAAGUUGCAGGGUAUAGACCCGAAACCCGGUGAUCUAGCCAUGGGCAGGUUGAAGGUUGGGUAACACUAACUGGAGGACCGAACCGACUAAUGUUGAAAAAUUAGCGGAUGACUUGUGGCUGGGGGUGAAAGGCCAAUCAAACCGGGAGAUAGCUGGUUCUCCCCGAAAGCUAUUUAGGUAGCGCCUCGUGAAUUCAUCUCCGGGGGUAGAGCACUGUUUCGGCAAGGGGGUCAUCCCGACUUACCAACCCGAUGCAAACUGCGAAUACCGGAGAAUGUUAUCACGGGAGACACACGGCGGGUGCUAACGUCCGUCGUGAAGAGGGAAACAACCCAGACCGCCAGCUAAGGUCCCAAAGUCAUGGUUAAGUGGGAAACGAUGUGGGAAGGCCCAGACAGCCAGGAUGUUGGCUUAGAAGCAGCCAUCAUUUAAAGAAAGCGUAAUAGCUCACUGGUCGAGUCGGCCUGCGCGGAAGAUGUAACGGGGCUAAACCAUGCACCGAAGCUGCGGCAGCGACGCUUAUGCGUUGUUGGGUAGGGGAGCGUUCUGUAAGCCUGUGAAGGUGUGCUGUGAGGCAUGCUGGAGGUAUCAGAAGUGCGAAUGCUGACAUAAGUAACGAUAAAGCGGGUGAAAAGCCCGCUCGCCGGAAGACCAAGGGUUCCUGUCCAACGUUAAUCGGGGCAGGGUGAGUCGACCCCUAAGGCGAGGCCGAAAGGCGUAGUCGAUGGGAAACAGGUUAAUAUUCCUGUACUUGGUGUUACUGCGAAGGGGGGACGGAGAAGGCUAUGUUGGCCGGGCGACGGUUGUCCCGGUUUAAGCGUGUAGGCUGGUUUUCCAGGCAAAUCCGGAAAAUCAAGGCUGAGGCGUGAUGACGAGGCACUACGGUGCUGAAGCAACAAAUGCCCUGCUUCCAGGAAAAGCCUCUAAGCAUCAGGUAACAUCAAAUCGUAC
RNAcentral lists this ribosomal RNA (1441 nucleotides) under Escherichia coli. Its description in RNAcentral is "partial 23S ribosomal RNA". It matches the Rfam family "Bacterial large subunit ribosomal RNA", at positions 165 to 1647 of the family's 2925-position model. The record is from RNAcentral. Lineage: Bacteria; Pseudomonadati; Pseudomonadota; Gammaproteobacteria; Enterobacterales; Enterobacteriaceae.